UACGUAGGGUGCGAGCGUUGUCCGGAUUUAUUGGGCGUAAAGAGCUCGUAGGCGGUUUGUCGCGUCGGCCGUGAAAUCUCCACGCUUAACGUGGAGCGUGCGGUCGAUACGGGCAGACUUGAGUUCGGUAGGGGAGACUGGAAUUCCUGGUGUAGCGGUGAAAUGCGCAGAUAUCAGGAGGAACACCGGUGGCGAAGGCGGGUCUCUGGGCAUUAACUGACGCUGAGGAGCGAAAGCAUGGGGAGCGAACAGG
RNAcentral lists this ribosomal RNA (253 nucleotides) under uncultured bacterium. Its description in RNAcentral is "partial 16S ribosomal RNA". It matches the Rfam family "Bacterial small subunit ribosomal RNA", at positions 524 to 776 of the family's 1533-position model. The record is from RNAcentral.